RNAcentral lists this ribosomal RNA (476 nucleotides) under uncultured bacterium. Its description in RNAcentral is "SSU rRNA". It matches the Rfam family "Bacterial small subunit ribosomal RNA", at positions 26 to 518 of the family's 1533-position model. The record is from RNAcentral.
AGGACGAACGCUGGCGGCGUGCUUAACACAUGCAAGUCGAGCGGUAAGGCUCCUUCGGGAGUACACGAGCGGCGAACGGGUGAGUAACACGUGAGCAAUCUGCCCUUCACACUGGGAUAACCCCGGGAAACCGGGGCUAAUACCGGAUGCGACCACCGACGGCAUCGUCUGGUGGUGGAAAGUUCCGGCGGUGGAGGAUGAGCUCGCGGCCUAUCAGCUUGUUGGUGGGGUAAUGGCCUACCAAGGCUUCGACGGGUAGCCGGCCUGAGAGGGUGACCGGCCACACUGGGACUGAGACACGGCCCAGACUCCUACGGGAGGCAGCAGUGGGGAAUAUUGGACAAUGGGCGAAAGCCUGAUCCAGCAACGCCGCGUGAGGGAUGACGGCCUUCGGGUUGUAAACCUCUUUCAGCAGGGACGAAGCGCAAGUGACGGUACUGCAGAAGAGCACCGGCCAACUACGUGCCAGCAGCCGC